CCUGUCAGUUGGAUACAAUCUUCUCUACGUCACCAUAUAAAUUCCCAGCAACUCUGAAAUCAAAGCUGAAAAUGUUGGAAACACUCAGUGGGUCAGGCAACAUCUGUUGAGAAAGAAACAGAGUUCAGCUCUACAUUUUGUGCAUUGACAUCUAUUGCAAGAUGGAGUUCAAGCAGCAACAGAGAACUUCAUUUAAUUGCCUGGUGCUUACAGAGUGAACUCAUUGGAAGAUCUUGCACCAGAUAUGAUGAGCUUCUGCCUGACAUGCUGACUAUUUGCUCUUUGGGACCUGUACAGAUUGCAAGGGUUGCACCUGAACUCGAGGGGGAGCAAAAUCCUUGCUGCGCUGGUAACCCGCUCAAGCAAGAGAAAAUCUGCAGAUGCUGGAAGUCCAGGCAGAAUAGUUCCCUCACCCCACACCUUCUGUUUCUACCCCCUACCCAAGAUCCACAAAACUGCCUGUCCUGAUAGACUCAUUGUUUCCACUUGUUCCAGCCUCACGGAGCUUAUAUCCCUGUACAUCAACUCAGUCUUAUUGCCCCCUGGCUCAGUCCCUUCCUAACUACAUCCGUGGUACUUCACACAUUCUUGAACUUUUCAAUUUUUCAAGUUCCCUGGCCCCAAUCAUCUUAUUGUCACUAGGAAUAUCCAUUUUUACACACCUCCAACUCCAUCGGGAAGGCCUCAAAGCUCUCUGUUCCUUUCUGGACACCAGUUCCCUUCCACCACAACUCUCCUCUGUCUGGCGGAACUGGUCCUCACUCUCAAUAAUUCCUCCUUCAGCUGCUGCCUCCUCCUUCAAACUUAAGCUGUAGUCAGAGGCACUCGCAUGGGUACAGGCUAUGCCUGCCUUUUCGUCAGCUACGUGGAACUGUCCACAUUCCAAGCCUACACUGGUAUCACUCCUCAGAUCUUCCUACACUAUUUCAACGACUUCAGUGGCGCUGCUUCCUGUGCUUAUCAACUUCAUCAACUUUUCUUUCAACUUCUACCCUGCCCUCAAAUUUACCUGGUCCAUUUCCAACACCUCCCUCCCCUUUCUUGAUGUCUCUGUCUCUAUUUCUGGAGACAGCUUAUCUACUGAUAACUUUUAUCAGUCUACUGAUUCUCACAAGAGGAAUACACCUCUUCCCAUCCUGUUACUUGUGAAAAUACCAUCCUCUUCUCUCAAUUCCUCUGUCACCACCGCAUUUGCUCUCAGGAUGAAGUUUCUCAUUCUAGAAUUAAAGAGAGGUGUUUCCUUCCUCUACCAUCACCACUGCCCUCAACCGCAUCUCUUCCAUUUUGUGCACGUCUGCCAUCACCCCAUCCUCCUGCCACUCCUUGAGGGUUGGGUUCCUUUUGUCCUCACCUACCACCCCACCAGCCUCCACAUCCAGCACUUAACUCUAACUUCUGCCAUCUCCAACAGGAUACCACCACCAAACACAUCUUUCCCUCCGUCCCACCUUCUGCUUUCCUCAGGGGUCAUUCCCUACUGGGCUCCCUUGUCCAUUCAUUCCUCCCCACUGAUUUCCCUUCUGGCACAUAUCCUUGCAAGCAGAACAAGUGCCACACCUGCCCCUUCACCUCUUCCCUCACUACAAUUCAGGGCCCCAAACAGUUCUUCCAAGUGAGAUGAUACUUCACCUGUGAGUCCGUUGCAGUCAUUUACCGUAUCCGGUGCUCCCGGUGUGGCUUCCUAUAUCAGUGCGACCCAACGUAGACUGCAAGACGGCUUCACCGAUCACAUGUGCUCUGUCUGCUUGAAAAUGCGGGAUCUCCUAGUGGCCACCCAUUUUAAUUCUAUGCCGCAUUCCCAUUCCAACAUGUCAGUCCUUGGCCUUCUCUAUCGAUGUCCCUGUGCUGUGUUUCUAGUCUCUUGUUUUCCUUGUUUCAAUGCUGUCUGUGGGAAGACAAAUCCUGCAAGAAAGUCUGUGAUGUGGGAAGGUUGUAUACUGCAUACAUACUUUGAUAAUAAAUGUACUUUGAAUCUUU
Hypanus sabinus (Atlantic stingray) is the source of this 1977-nucleotide long non-coding RNA. RefSeq lists it as uncharacterized. The transcript is spliced from 4 exons. The record is from RefSeq and is a predicted model, not a curated record. Lineage: Eukaryota; Metazoa; Chordata; Chondrichthyes; Myliobatiformes; Dasyatidae.